Molecule: unclassified non-coding RNA, 391 nt
Filed under: soil metagenome
Description: partial contains 5.8S ribosomal RNA, internal transcribed spacer 2, and large subunit ribosomal RNA
Rfam family: 5.8S ribosomal RNA (bases 1-122)
Source: RNAcentral
GAUGAAGAACGUAGCGAAAUGCGAUACUUGGUGUGAAUUGCAGAAUCCCGUGAACCAUCGAGUCUUUGAACGCAAGUUGCGCCCGAAGCCACUAGGCCGAGGGCACGCCUGCCUGGGCGUCACACGCCGUUGCCCCCCCAUCUACUCCUUCGGGAUUGCGGGGGGGCGGAUGAUGGCCUCCCGUGCGCCUAGCCGCGCGGUUGGCAUAAAUACCAAGUCCUCGGCGACGCACGCCACGACGAUCGGUGGUUGCGAAACCUCGGUUGCCCGUCGUGUGCGUUCGUCGCGCAUCGAGGGCUCGAAAAAAUGCUCGGCUCCGGCUGGGCUUUCAACGCGACCCCAGGUCAGGCGGGGUUACCCGCUGAAUUUAAGCAUAUCAAUAAGCGGAGGA